GCCCGGCUAGCUCAAUCGGUAGAGCGUGAGACUCUUAAAACUGAACUCACGGUUACAUCUCAAGGUUGUGGGUUCGACCCCCACGUCGGGCU
Molecule: non-coding RNA, 92 nt
Organism: Corynascus novoguineensis
Lineage: Eukaryota; Fungi; Ascomycota; Sordariomycetes; Sordariales; Chaetomiaceae
Source: the annotation of a GenBank genome assembly